GCCAGCACGCGCCGGUCGAAGGUG
Molecule: microRNA, 24 nt
Filed under: Canis lupus familiaris (dog)
Lineage: Eukaryota; Metazoa; Chordata; Mammalia; Carnivora; Canidae
Description: cfa-miR-8804
Source: miRBase by way of RNAcentral